UACGUAGGGUGCGAGCGUUAAUCGGAAUUACUGGGCGUAAAGCGUGCGCAGGCGGUUUGCUAAGACCGAUGUGAAAUCCCCGGGCUCAACCUGGGAACUGCAUUGGUGACUGGCAAGCUAGAGUAUGGCAGAGGGGGGUAGAAUUCCACGUGUAGCAGUGAAAUGCGUAGAGAUGUGGAGGAAUACCGAUGGCGAAGGCGGCUCACUGGACUGGUACUGACGCUGAGGAGCGAAAGUGUGGGGAGCGAACAGG
This 253-nucleotide ribosomal RNA is filed under the name uncultured bacterium. RNAcentral describes it as "partial 16S ribosomal RNA". It matches the Rfam family "Bacterial small subunit ribosomal RNA", at positions 524 to 776 of the family's 1533-position model. The record is from RNAcentral.